CCGGCCUGAGAGGGUGAUCGGACACACUGGAACUGAGACACGGUCCAGACUCCUACGGGAGGCAGCAGUAGGGAAUAUUGCUCAAUGGGGGAAACCCUGAAGCAGCAACGCCGCGUGGAGGAUGAAGGUUUUAGGAUUGUAAACUCCUUUUCUAAGAGAAGAUUAUGACGGUAUCUUAGGAAUAAGCACCGGCUAACUCCGUGCCAGCAGCCGCGGUAAUACGGAGGGUGCAAGCGUUACUCGGAAUCACUGGGCGUAAAGAGCGCGUAGGCGGG
This 275-nucleotide ribosomal RNA is filed under the name Helicobacter rappini. RNAcentral's name for it is "partial 16S ribosomal RNA". It matches the Rfam family "Bacterial small subunit ribosomal RNA", at positions 287 to 579 of the family's 1533-position model. The record is from RNAcentral. Lineage: Bacteria; Pseudomonadati; Campylobacterota; Epsilonproteobacteria; Campylobacterales; Helicobacteraceae.